RNAcentral lists this long non-coding RNA (1491 nucleotides) under Capsicum annuum. Its description in RNAcentral is "long non-coding RNA (CANN_LNC018066)". The record is from RNAcentral. Lineage: Eukaryota; Viridiplantae; Streptophyta; Magnoliopsida; Solanales; Solanaceae.
CGGCACUUAAGCAUUUUCAACAAAUAAAGUCACCAACAACAUCACCUCCUAAACACUAGUUCACUAUUAAAGUCACCGAAACUUAAGCUUUUUCAACUAACAAAGGCCCAACGAAACUAAUUCACUAUUAAAGUCACCAAAACUUAAGCAUUUUCAACAAAUAAAGUCACCAACAAAUUCACCUUCUAAACAAAAGUUCACUUUUAAAGUCACCGACUUCACUAUGUCCACAUACCUUUGAUAUUUUUCUUAAUUUCUUGAUAUUUCAAAAUGGCAGCUUCAAUCUUCUUAUAGAUUCUUUCACGGGAAACUGCAAUAUUGAAAAUAAUGAGCUUAGCAAAUUAAAAGAUAGACAACUCCAUUUUCAAGUUACUACAUGUCUACAGCAUGACUGAACUUUGAGCACAUUGUACAAGUUUAUGUCUACUUAAGGUAUAGAUAUUCUAAAACCCUUAAGCAAGAUCAGCCUUAUCUUUUAGAAAAGUAAAGAAACUAAAUUUUUGUCUUGAUGCCACAAUUUAGAAAGAUACAACAAAAGAAAUACAGAUAGUAUUGGAGAACUCUACAUGAAAUACAACAACAACAAACCCAGUGUAUUCUCACACAGUGGUGUACAGAUAGAUCUAAAGUCCAUUAAGCAAAUUGACCUGCAUAUCAACACUUGGAAGCUUAUUCAGCAUUCAGAUAAUAUAAAAUGAGUUAGGAUCCGAAGCUAGAUUUCAUUUAUACCAUAACCUUACCACUAAUGCAGAGCAAACUCGUAAUGCCCAAUUAAUCAGAUCCAAAAUCCCAUACUCAAAUAAUCAGACCGAGCACAUACAUACCAGAAUUUCAAAAUGUAAAAAGACCCAGAUCUGAUAAGAGAAACAUACGUACCCAUCAUAAGAGAGUAAACAAGAAUGUAAUUGUUCUUAAAGAAAUUAAAAGCCUGUGAAGUUGUUAUCCGAUCUCUGAUAGUCUUGCCUCCCAGCUCCAGAUUUGCCACCACAGCAGCUAUAGCACCAAACACAACAUAGUAGAACAACUUCAUUGCCGCCCUCCACGCACCAGCACUAGCUCGAUAUCUCGAUAGUUUGUAUGUUAAUCUUAAUAGAGUUAAUGGAGUUUACCUCUAAACGGAGGAUGCCGACUGGUUGGUGGACGGCUACUUCACCGGCUGGUGGUGCUGCCGGCAUUGGUGGAGAUGGCUGCCGGCUGGUGCAGCGACGGCUGGCAGUGGCUUAACAGAGAAAGUUGGAGCAGUGACGGCUGGCGGCGCUGGGAUUCCGUCGACGGCUGGUGGCGCUGGGGUUCCGUCAUCGUUGAUAGAAAAAGAAGAAGAGUGAGAAGAGAGACAGAUGAGGGUGCGGCUAUUUUUGUGAAAAAUAAAUUAGCGUUUGAGUUAUUUUGUUUAAAAGUGUAAUAAAUGGUGAAUUUAAUCUCAGCCAUUGAUCGGAUGAGAUCAAUGGUUAUGAUUAAAAUUGAGAGGAGUCAAAUGAAAUUGAAAUUGAA